UCAAGAAAUGUUUGUGACCAUUCAGGGUGUAAGGCCAGCCUGAGCCUUCUGACGUUCCACUGGCAGGUGGCGGACUGGAACACCACACGGGCCCCAGGACAGCGUGAUCUUCACUGUCCACUGAAGACGUGGCCAAGGAGGAAAAUGGAAAAGUAGGAACUGUGCCGAGAGCAGACCCUCGUCCUCUGAAGCAUCGCCCUCAACUGUAUAGACCCGACCUCACAGAAGUCCUCCCUCCAGCCACGGAAGUCUCUGUGUUGCACUGACGUGGCCAAGGCCAGUUACAGGCUGCGUCUCUGCUUCCGUAAUGGGAGGACCAAGGUUUGUCUGAUCAACACAGGAAGGCGACUCUGCGGAUGGAGAAGCUUCUGACCUUACAUCACAAAGCCACACUCCUCUGAGGAUGGCGAUGUCUGGUAGGAGACGGGCACAUCUGAGAAGAGCCAUCGGUGUGUGUGCGUGUGGAAUAUCUGCAGACAUGACUGCGUGGAGGAAAUUCAAGUCGCUGCUCCUGCUUCUGGCGCUGCUGGUUCUGUUCGCGGGGCUCCUCACUGCAGCGAAGGGUAAGGAAGCCUUGCUGGCUGCCGGGGGAGAUGGGCGAACCCUCCGAGGCCCCGUUUGCGAACCAAGUGUCUGUCUGGAGGAGGGCAGGAUACCGAGCCGCUGGCCUCUGCCGGUGGCUCUCCUUCGCGGACGCCUGGGGAAUGCGAUGCCGGGGGCCAGCUUCCAUCGCCUUCUGCCCACCCUCGUCUCCAGCGCCCACCCCCGCCUCUCCUUCCCCCUCGCUCGGGCUGAAACGAAAUGUCUCUUCUUUUCUCGGUGUGGUGGGUUGUGAGGGAGAAUGGAGCCAAACCCGAGUGGGGCUGAAACUGCGCUGUUGGCGGAAGCGUUGCCUCCUAGGGGAUGUGGGCGCAGUGGAUCGGGGUGGCUGGGGUGGUUCCCGGACUUUCUCCCCGGACCGGGAGCGGCUGGGAAAGUGGCCCGGGCCAAGCCGGCCUCGCAAGUUCUGACUCUCCAGGGCUCUGGGUGCCGCGGGCGAACCUGCCUGCCGGCCGGGCCCCGCACACCCCUACCCCGGUGCCGCCUUCCUCCUCCCACGGAC
Molecule: long non-coding RNA, 1102 nt
Filed under: Camelus dromedarius (Arabian camel)
Lineage: Eukaryota; Metazoa; Chordata; Mammalia; Artiodactyla; Camelidae
Description: lncRNA (ENSCDRG00005021369.1)
Source: RNAcentral